Molecule: long non-coding RNA, 558 nt
Organism: Harpia harpyja (harpy eagle)
Lineage: Eukaryota; Metazoa; Chordata; Aves; Accipitriformes; Accipitridae
Exons: 3
Source: RefSeq, a predicted model, not a curated record
AUUAGACUGUGGCUAUCACUAAGACCCUAUUAAAGAUAGAGGUAGAUAAGCCUUGGGGAAAAUGUGAGACAACCACCACCCUACCCUGUUGUCUGAGAACAGGGAGAGGUGGAAGGAGGAGGUUUCCCUUUGCAAAGAAUUUAUAAUCACUGAGGAAGAGAACAGUUUGCUUUACAGUGAUCAACACCGUGACACUGUCUUCUGCAAAACCAACCAGCCAUCCUCCCAAAAGCAAAAGCUUCAUUUACAGAGAAACCAAUAAAUGUUCAUGGGAGAUGACUGCAUGAAGAAAAUGUAUUUGCAGUGAUUAUACAAGGAGAAAUGGUGAGUAUUUAACUUUUAUUGCCAUGAAAUGUCCAUGUGAGCUAUAGCACAUUAGUCUUAAUAUAGUGACCGAAAGAUGUUCAGUUCAUCUAAAAGCAUGUUAACAAAUGGCUCGAUCUUAGUGUAGAAUCACCUACAGAAGUAAAAAUGCUAUGUAAAUAACUCUGAUAGCAUGUAGCUCCUCAGUGAGAAAAAAGUAAAACUAGAUCCAAUGGGUGACUGAUGAAACUAGAU